Molecule: unclassified non-coding RNA, 21 nt
Filed under: Chlamydomonas reinhardtii
Lineage: Eukaryota; Viridiplantae; Chlorophyta; Chlorophyceae; Chlamydomonadales; Chlamydomonadaceae
Description: small RNA Cre_2835
Source: RNAcentral
UGAAAUGAUUGUGUUCACAGU